GAGCUUGGCGGUGUUUUAGACCUCUCAGGGGAACCUGUCUCAUAAUCGACAAUCCACGUUAAACCUAACCUUUGAUAGCAAUUCAGCCUGUAUACCGUUGUCGUCAGGUAACUUCUUAAAAUAUAAUAGUUGGCUUGAGAAUUUUAUUAAUUAAAACGUCAAAUCAAGGUGCAGCUAAUAAAAAGGUGAAGAUGGGUUACAAUUACAUAUUUGUAAAUAUGGAUAAACAUUUGAAAGAAUGUUUUAAAGGAGGACUUGAAAGUAAUUUUGAUUAUAUAAAUAAGGUGAAUGAGGCUCUGAAACGUGCACACAUCGCCCGUCGCUCUCGUUGAAAAAUGAGAUAAGUCGUAACAUAGUAGGGGUAAUGGAAAUUGUUCCUAGGC
RNAcentral lists this ribosomal RNA (383 nucleotides) under Conus diminutus. RNAcentral describes it as "partial 12S ribosomal RNA". It matches the Rfam family "Microsporidia small subunit ribosomal RNA", at positions 780 to 1304 of the family's 1311-position model. The record is from RNAcentral. Lineage: Eukaryota; Metazoa; Mollusca; Gastropoda; Neogastropoda; Conidae. RNAcentral also lists the same sequence under 1 other name.